Molecule: long non-coding RNA, 1939 nt
Organism: Cyprinus carpio (common carp)
Lineage: Eukaryota; Metazoa; Chordata; Actinopteri; Cypriniformes; Cyprinidae
Source: Ensembl
CUAACAAACAGAAAUGAACAAUGCAAAUGUAAACAUCUGAACAUUCUAAUUAACAAACAAACAAGUGAACAAUGAAAUUGUAAACAAUUUCAAAAAUCUGAACUUUCUCAAAAAACAAACAAACAAACAAACAACAACAACAACAAAAACUGGUACAAAUCCUUAAGAUUGGCGAUUGGUGGCAAAGCAACAAAACUAAAUCUGACUUUUUGCAAAUGCGCAUCAACACAGUGCUGCGACUACAUGUUAUGAUCUUUCUCAAAGCUGAAAAUCUUACAAAGGGAUACAGUUAUUCACUGUAAGUAACCAAAUGAAGUUUAAUUAGACUUGCUGCGACACAUUUGGAAACGAUUCACAGCACAGCGUCUUUCUCCUGCACAUUGUCAUGUAAGCUAUUAUUAACCUGGAGUUUGACGUCUUUGUUUGAAUAGUUGACAGAGUCUGAGCACUGCUUCUAUUCACUGUCAUUCGGCUCUGUCUCUGACUCACUGAAUAAAUGAACUCUUCGCCUCUUCCCACAUUGUGCUCACGGGUCACUUGUCAAACUGUAAGCAGUCCUGCGAGCAGAAAUAGCCGGGCCGGUUCGCUCUGGCCCAGCAGGUUUUUGAGAGCAGUCCAGCCGAACACACAUCUCAUGCUGAGCAUCUGGAUAAAGGUGAAAUCAUCAUUUCAUAGGAAUCUGCACCAUCUGAAGGCAGAUCACUGUGAACGACCCACAAGAACUGAUUGGUAUUUGUGUGGCGGCCUUUGGCGUAUGGUGAGAAUGAUCUUUCUGUGUUAUUAUAACUGGCAUUUGUCAUAAAUCAGCAUUGAAGCCUUUCAUUGACCCAUGUCUGAGUCCAAUAUAACUGAGAUUUACCCAGCAAGCUGUCCAGCAAACACACCGAGGAGGGCAGUGAGUGAUCCCAUGAAUUCUCAUGCGCCGGGCACACGGUUCUGCAUCAAAUCUACUGAUCUGGCACAACUUGAAGAGAAACACGUUUAUACAAAUAAUUAAACCCAACAACAAGUGUUUAGGCUGGAGACCAAACGAGAUGGUAAUGUAUUCCACAUGUUGGUAUCAGGCUUCAAAUACGGUGCUAUAUGAUUGUGCCUUUCAGCAUAUGUCUAAAAAGAGAAGAAAAUACUUGAUUUCCAUUUGCCAUAAAAUCACCAGACACAACAGCCAAACAAGUCAGAAAAACUGGUAGGCCUGCGUUUACAAACACAAAUAUUAUUGAGUGCAGAACCAAUAAAUCUGCAGCUCAGAGGCCAAUGAUUCAUGAAUCAUUACAAAACGUCUCAGAACGGUUUAUGUGUUGUAAUGUGAAAUAUGACUCGUUUUAUUGCCCAUAUUUACUUCAUACCUUGUCACGUCCUGCGCGUGCUUUACAAAGCGAAUAAUUUAUAAGACCGACCAGUUUGUUGGUCACUUUUGGCCUAUGCCAUCAUCAGCAUGAGCUUAACAGGGAUCGAUCGGUCUUUUAACGGGCCUGCCUUAUUGGAAUCAAAUGACACACAAACACAGGCCGCUCUCUAUGAAGUCAAGGUGUUCAAUAUCACCCUUUCUUCAGUAGCUCUGUGCAUCCUGACGGUGACAGGAAUCAUCAGCUGUAUAUUGUACCGAAGACACAGAAGGAAGUGUAAGCGGGCACACGUCUAUGAGAGCGCCGUGGCCUGCGAGGUUCCUGAAGAGCCAGCGGGUGUUAUGUGUGUGAGGAAAACCCAUAGUUGUCGUAACCCGCUCGCCCUGUUUAGAAGACAGGAGGGGCUGAAGGACAACUCACGCAUCCACUACAUCUACACCAACCCUCUGCCUGUAGGACACGAGGAGGACAGGAUCCCCCCUCACUCAGUGUCCAUACACACCCCUCUCCCACUGCAGGACUACGCCAACGACCCCAACAGCGGCAUCAUCCUAGCCCCACCCAUUUUUUUACAUGCAGCUGUAGAAAGGUAG